CCUCAACCCACAAGCGACCUGCUCUACAGUGGAAAGUCCCAGAGCGAUGUGCCCGCACCAGAUCUCUGGGGCUCCAUCCCAGGCAUCACAGCGUCUCAGCUUCUUGGUAGGAAAUGAAACUCAUUGCUGUUACUCGUAGUCAGAAUCAAGGCCAGUUAAAAAUAGGUGGUACUGAAUAGAUUGCAAAGGUCAUAGUCUAAGAGAAACU
Long non-coding RNA from Leopardus geoffroyi (Geoffroy's cat), 208 nucleotides. RefSeq lists it as uncharacterized. Lineage: Eukaryota; Metazoa; Chordata; Mammalia; Carnivora; Felidae. The record is from RefSeq and is a predicted model, not a curated record. The transcript is spliced from 2 exons.